RNAcentral lists this transfer RNA (70 nucleotides) under Loxodonta africana (African savanna elephant). It matches the Rfam family "tRNA". Rfam says of the family: Transfer RNA (tRNA) molecules are approximately 80 nucleotides in length. Their secondary structure includes four short double-helical elements and three loops (D, anti-codon, and T loops). The record is from Rfam by way of RNAcentral. Lineage: Eukaryota; Metazoa; Chordata; Mammalia; Proboscidea; Elephantidae.
CUGGGUGGCACAAAUAGUUUGUGCUUGUCUACUAAUCAAAAGGUUGGUGGUUCGAAUCCACCCACCCAGC